Monodelphis domestica (gray short-tailed opossum) is the source of this 1857-nucleotide non-coding RNA. NCBI's taxonomy places the organism in Eukaryota, Metazoa, Chordata, Mammalia, Didelphimorphia, Didelphidae. The record is from RefSeq and is a predicted model, not a curated record.
CCUUUCUAUUAUUUACAAUGAUCCCUUAUAUUUAUAAAAGGAUUAUUAUACUUUAUAAGGUUUCUUCACAUUCAUUUUCUUCUUUUACUCUUCACAACUCUGGGAGGUCGGUAUAAGAUGAUGUGAUCAUAGAUUGAGAGUUAGCUGGGACCAUAGAGAUUCAGCUCCCCUCAUUCUGUAGGUGAGGUAAGAGGGUCAUACAACUAGUAAGUGUUUGAAGCAAGUUUUGAAGCCAGGUCUUGCUGGUUCCAAGUCUCAUCCUUAGUCUACAAAGGCAUCUUCUAGAACCAGAUUAAAAUGUAAUUGCAAAAUACUUAACAAAACAAAUAAAAAGUAUAGUAGAAUGUAAAUAAUAUUGCUAUGUGAUUUAAUAAGUCGAUAUACUUAUUGUUUAAGCAGGGCUUAGUGACUCCUGAAUUUGAAACUACAAUACUAUGCCACAUAGGGUGUAUGGGAUGUUUAAGGAGACUUCCACUUCUGGCUUGAGUGCUCACUGAGCCCUUUUGAAGGAUGUGCAACUUUUGUUGUAUCAACCUUUCACUCAGCUCUCCCCUGUGACUCCAAGAAGCUAUAAUGUAGACAGCAGCCACACUAUGGUAAAACCAUCUCAGCAACGAGAUAAACCAGGCUGAAGGUAACCAGUGGCCCUUAACCCUGUCAGAGAGUUGGACAGAUGUCUGCUCCAAGCAUGUGAAGACUUUUCUUGGUGGAAUGGGGGAUGAGAACAAUUUGUUCCAACAUCCCUUAGAGCUUGGUCAAACAUUGAGAACACUAAGGUCAUCCAGUACAUCCAGGACGAUCACUAAUCCUGCUUUUUGUCUUGCCCCUGGACUUCAAUGAAUCUAGAAGAGAAAGUAAGGCCAGUGACUAUGGGAAACUCUUCCUUGCUAAACCAAAUUCACAUAAAAGUCAAGACAUCACCCCAUGAUGGCAUUGAUUCUCAUUGAAAAGGAAGGAUGAACAAUAACUAUGUCACCCUAUCUCUCAAUGACCCCAUCCUUUAGAGGUCUUUGUUUUAUAGAGGAAUUUUCCUUCACUAACACAUGCCACAAUCAAUAAAAGACUUAGCAGAUGGUAUUUAAGAGAUUCCGUGACAAAAACAUUCAUCAAUCUAUAGUCAAGUUAGGAAUGAACUAUAUUAAAUUAGCUAGGUUGGUUCUUGGAUACCAGAAAUUAGUUUUUUUAACUUUAACUUUUCUGUACUUUAGAACAAAUUCUAUCGUCUUAACUUUCUUUGUAUUUCUCCUACACUCAGCAUUGAGCUUAUGCACUUAAAUUUUAAAUUAUUUUUUUUUUAUAUUUAAGGCCAGACAUGGAAUGACCACUGCCAAUGCAGAUCAGCAUCAUUUUGCAACUUUUACUCUUAGAGAGUUUCUUGAGGAGCAUCAAGAGUACUUUCACACAUAUCCUUCUACAGCUUUGCAAAUGGAAUGUUGUCCCUAUGGAAUCUUUGCAUAUAAUAAGGUGAGGAAGCUGAGAUUUAGAGGUUGAAUGAGUCACUUAGCUAGUAAGUAUUAUGAGCGAAUUUUAAACCCAGCUCUCCAGACUACAAGUCUAUCAUCACUUUCCAUUGUACCAUCUUGCUUUUCCUUCAGUUAUGGAUGAGUUUAUACAUAUGCACAUGUAGCAAUAUGCAUAAAAUACUUAUCACAUAUAUAUGCAAGUCUAUAGAAAUGUAUAUGAUGGAUAGAGCACUGACCUGGAAGAUGGGAGAAUCUACUUCAAGUAUCAUCUCUGAUACAGUCUCUAAGUGUUUUAGGCAGUUCUCCAAGGCUAUCAAUUAUACAGAUAUUGCUGAUCUUCUUUGAUAGAAAGAGUUGCCUUAUUUAGGAAUUCUCUAUUAAUGACAUUACAGGU